GCCGCCGGGAGCCACGAAAGAGCUGCUGGAGUUCAUUCCUCGUGGGAACUGGAGCGGGCUGCGAUGCUUCGUCCGGUCCUGGUGCCGCUGGGUGCUGCUUUUCAAGCUGAGCGAAGGCUGCAGCGGAGCCUCUCGUCAGUCCGAACCGGAGCGUGAUCUCGUUCCCAUCGUGGAGAUGCAGCGGAAUGGCUUGCGUGACUCGAAUGCUGUUGUGGAUGUUCUGUUCUCUUCAGGAGAGACAGACAGGCAAGGUGCCCGAGGACUCAUGGAUAGGCAGCAUCACUGCAGCCUUCAGAAAGGAUGUCAUCUCUAAGGAGCGGUCACGGUGGAUUCAGCAAGAGGAAGUGAUGAUGGACUGACCUGGUAGCUUUCUGUGUUGUUGUGACUGUCUGGUUGGAUGAGAGAAGGGCAGUGGAUGUUGCGGGGUGGAAUAUCACUUCUGUCAGGUGAGCGCCACAGUGGAGCAUUGAGGAUCAGCCUGAGGAAGGAUGUGAGCUGUCUGACCUGCCUACCUGGUGGCCCUUCAAGAAUGUGUUUGAGUUCUUCCUGCAGGUUCAGGGUGUGUGGCAGGCCCACUGGUGGAGGGAGGAGUGAGCAGUGGUGCUGGAGUUGUUUCAGUCUUCCAGGGCUGUUGUCUUCCCUUGGAUUGCGGUGCAGCUGGUGUGCCAGGAGGAAGGUCCCCAUCCUGGGUGCUGCAGAACUGUCAGGAGUAGCUCCUGUGUGGUGACUGCUCUGUGCUGGUGCUUCUGGUCCUGAAGGUGGGAGGAGUGAGGAGGAGCUGGGUUCUGUGUUCCUGCUGAAGGAGAAAAUUCAUUUCAUUUCAAACCUCAGUGUUUGCCCCCAAAAUACUGGUGACUAACCUUACUUCUGUGGAGCGGAAAGUGGGUGAAGAUGCAUCCCUUUUGUAGAAGAAUGAGUGGCUUGUGAUGGCUUUCCGGGAAGACUGUAUCUGCUGCAGGUGUGAUUGCUCUGCGUUGUGGGGGAGAAUUGGGAUGCCUAAGAAUAUCUGCACUGGAGUGGGAAUGACUAGGCUUAGCUAACUCAAGUUUUCAUGGUGAAGUGGAUACCUGUCCAUCUCUGACUUUAAAACAACAGUAAAUCCUUGCUUACCUCACAAAGAUGCGCUGUCUAUUUCUGUGCUUGGGCUCUGUUUCCUUGCUGCUGCUGAUAUUCAUCUUGGGGGAACACAGAAAGGGAGAAAAAUGACCCCUGAAGCAGUAGACUAUUUAGCAUUGCAUGUUCUGCAAAAGAAAAACAAGUGAGACUUAAUAACAAAUAGUUUUACAAGUUAUCUACUGCAGAAGUACAGUGUGUCAGACUUGCUUUACUCACUGAAUGAAAUGGUAGAGUACAUUGUCAGCGUUUGUAUUGUUGCAACUGUAUUUCUAGAGAAGCAUUUCUUGAGCUCUGUAGAGCUUCCCAGGAUCAUGGUAUGGUGUGCCAUCCCAAUAGAGUGGCUGUGACUGUCUUUCAAAAGAACUCUGCUUUCCAUCUUUUUAAGAAGAGUUCACUGAGAACUGUCUCUGGUUUCUUGGUAGGUAACCUGAGCUACUGCUUCACUGCACAACCCUUUGGAUUGAAUUGUGAAUCAGAAAGCAUACUGGAUCAGAAGGGACUUGCAACUCUGGGAGACUGCCCGGACUUCAACUGCUAUGGCUGGGAGCAGCGUCCAAAUGCUUUGUGAACUGUCAGCCAUGGGGUGUGACUGCUGUCUCAGAGAAGCCUGUUUUGCUAUCUCACCCCUCUUUCUGACAAGUUUUUCUUCAUCUGCAACCUCUACCUUCUCUGACCUCUACAGCCUCCUUUCAGCUUAAAAAGAGAGGGAAUUUGAGCCUUCCUUGGAUGCUCCCUGAGAGCUCUUAUUUUAUAUUAGAGGUUGCAGAGCUGCACACUAUGCUCACGGUGAGGCUUUACCUCCCUGGAGCAGUGUGGGAUGAUCCCUUCCUUUGUUCAGCCGGUUGUGCUGGGCCUGAGGUGCCCCAGGGUGUGGUCAGCCUUCUAAAUGACCAGGCAUGCUGCUGACUUGAAUUUAACUUGCUGUCAACUGUGGCACCCAGAUUCCUUUCCCUGGGGCAGCUCUCUGACCUCAUUCCCCCUGUUCUGUAUGGGUAGCUGGGGUUGGCCUGUCUCACAUACAGAAUCAGGUGCUGGCUACUGACAAAAUUCACACAGUUGGUGACUGUAGGGCCUGCUACUGUCUAGAGUUUGCUCUGGAGAGCCUGUUUACCCCUGAGGAGUCCCCAGCUCCUCCUAAUUUAGUGUCAUCAGCAAAAAUACUUAAUAUGCAUUUGACUCCUGUGUCCUGAUCAUUUAUAGAAAUACCAAAGGGAACUGCCCCUGCCAAGAAGCCCCUGGAAUUUGACUGGAACCCGGUUGCCAGCCUCACAUAAUCUCAUUUAAUUCUAACAGAAUUAGAUUUAGAUUUAAUUAGAUUUAGAUCUAAAUUUAACAAAUACUUGGAGCUGCUUUUGUGUAGGGGACUGAGUCACUGCUUGCUCUUUGUUUGUCUUAAGAGGUAUACUUAGGAAGGGCUGUUUUCUGACACAGCAUUUAGUUUCUGGAUCCCCUUACCUGACAAGAAUUUUCCUUACCUACUCAAAGAGAUAAUACACACUUGGAAUUACACCACAGGCAAAGAUGUCUUGUUUUUGAACAGAGGGAGUUAAUAAAUGCAUCCCUCUAAUAGAGGAAUGGAAUAAGAUCUGUCUUAUAGCAUUAAUAAAUUCAUAGCUACGGAAUAAAGUUGGAUAUUUUCAACCACUACAAUCUAAGUCAUUUCACUAUUCACAUUUUCUGCAUAGUAAGAUUACUGGGGUGUAUCCUACCAUUAAUAGUCAGAAUGACUGACCAAGAAGUACAGAUUGCCACAAUAAAACCUAAAGCUGCAAGAAACAAACAACAACAACAAAAAAAACCCACAAAAAACAACCCCUCUUCUGUUGGUUUGAAAAGUAUUUCCUGGGCACCCACACUCAGAAGAGAGCCCCCCAUGGACAUAAUACUCUUUGUAGUGUCUUUCAUGACAAACAGAGGUUUAAAUUCUCCUUACGCUCACUUUAACCAGAGUGCCAGACUAUACAAGUGAAAUCCU
Long non-coding RNA from Gallus gallus (chicken), 3091 nucleotides. Lineage: Eukaryota; Metazoa; Chordata; Aves; Galliformes; Phasianidae. The record is from Ensembl.